Molecule: non-coding RNA, 373 nt
Organism: Phoenix dactylifera (date palm)
Lineage: Eukaryota; Viridiplantae; Streptophyta; Magnoliopsida; Arecales; Arecaceae
Source: RefSeq, a predicted model, not a curated record
GCCAUCGAAUUCUCUAGAGCAAAGAUUCUGUGAAGCUGUUGGUGGUGAAUGAGAAGAUUGUCAUACUUAGACUAACCAUCCUCCGCAUGUAACAACCCUAUAUAUGGAUGUGGGACAUCAAGGGAUCUUGCAUGGAUGCAAGCUGUUUGUGGAGCAUAAUUGUUUGUAUGAAGCUACUUUUAAGGAUCUGAUGUAGCUCAUAGUCAUGCAUCACAGGCUUGUCUAAUAAUCCUCCAUUGAAGGAUUUUAGGAUAUACAUAAUGCAGAUGAGAAUAUGAGAGACAGGAGAUUGUCUUACAGAGUAAGACAUGCUUUUAUGGUUACCAUUAUUGAUUAUAAGCGAGUGAAAAUUCAACAUUCUUAACAAUUAUCA